RNAcentral lists this long non-coding RNA (319 nucleotides) under Capsicum annuum. RNAcentral describes it as "long non-coding RNA (CANN_LNC010138)". Lineage: Eukaryota; Viridiplantae; Streptophyta; Magnoliopsida; Solanales; Solanaceae. The record is from RNAcentral.
GCCACAAAGAUGUUCUCAUUGUAGUGCUUCACCCUUUGACCAUUGACUAUGAAUUUCUUCCCUUCAUUGUCUUCUAACUCGACAACACCACUUGAGUAGACUUUAGAAAUAACAAAUAGUCUCGACCAUUAUGAGUGAAGUUUCCCCACGAAGAAGUUCAAAUGGGAGUUGUAGAGGAGUACCUGCUCUCCCUCAUGGAAUUUUAGCUGCAAUAUUCUAGAGUUACGCCAUUUCUUUAUUUUCUCCUUAUACAAAGUUGCACCCUUAUAAUCCCUUAGUCAGAACUCUUCCAUCUCAUGGAUUUGUUUUACCCGUGCCC